ACUCUGCAGCACGGUCCCCUCGUUCCUUGGAAGAGACGGAGAGGUGAGUGUUUGUCAUCUACUGGUGGACUAACCAGAGAGAAUUACAGCAGCAGAACACACCGUC
This is a long non-coding RNA of Notothenia coriiceps (black rockcod), 106 nucleotides long. RefSeq lists it as uncharacterized. Lineage: Eukaryota; Metazoa; Chordata; Actinopteri; Perciformes; Nototheniidae. The record is from RefSeq and is a predicted model, not a curated record. The transcript has 3 exons.